RNAcentral lists this ribosomal RNA (1218 nucleotides) under Triticum aestivum (bread wheat). RNAcentral's name for it is "partial small subunit ribosomal RNA". Lineage: Eukaryota; Viridiplantae; Streptophyta; Magnoliopsida; Poales; Poaceae. The record is from RNAcentral.
AUGCUCCGCCAAGGCCUAAUCACCCACAGCAUGAGCCCGUUUGCAGCUCCGGUGCUGCUGGUAAAGAAGAAAGACGACACUUGGAGGUUCUGUGUGGAUUACCGUCGACUCAACACUAUUACUAUAAAGAACAAAUUUCCACUGCCAAUCAUCGACGAGCUCUUGGACGAACUCGCAGGCGCUGCAUUCUUUUCCAAGAUUGAUUUACGAGCUGGGUAUCAUCAAAUACGAAUGAGAGAAGGUGAUGAAGAGAAGACUGCUUUCAAAACACAUCACGGGCACUUCCAAUUCAGAGUCAUGCCUUUCGGAGUCAUGAACGGACCACCAACAUUCCAGUGCUUGAUAAACUCCAUCUUCUAUGGUCCGAAUCGUAAGUUUGUCAUUACGUUCCUUGAUGACAUUCUUGUGUUCAGUUGCUCCCUGCAGGAACAUGUUGAGCACCUUCGCACUGUCUUCUCCAUUCUCCGCCAACAUCAACUAUAUGCCAAAGAGUCCAAGUGUUCCUUUGCUCAGCCUCGCAUUGAAUACUUGGGUCACGUGAUCUCCAAGGAAGGUGUGGCCACUGACCCCAGCAAGACGAGUGCGAUGCGCGAGUGGCCUACUCCAACAAAUGCCACUGAGCUGCGCGGAUUCCUUGGGCUCACGGGCUAUUAUCGCAAAUUCGUUUCCCGUUAUGGAAUCAUCGCCAAGCCACUGACACAACUUCUCACCAAGAAGGGAUUCACGUGGUCAGCUCAAGCACAAGCGGCAUUCGACUUGCUCAAGGAUGCCAUGGUCAACACCCCCGUUCUUGCUCUGCCGGACUUCUCACGCCCCUUCUCCAUCGAGACCGACACGUGUGACACUGGCGUGCGAGCUGUGCUGGUCCAGGAUGGCCACCCCGUGGCCUAUCUCAGCAAGGCGUUGGGGGUGCGCAAUCAGCGCCUCUCCAUCUAUGAGAAGGAGUUUCUCGCUGUCAUCAUGGCCAUCGAGAAGUGGCGACAUUACCUACAACGCGCUCCAUUUGUCAUCGUCACCGACCACAAGAGCCUAUGCAGCCUCGGCGACCAACAGUUGGACACAGAGCUGCAGCGUAAAGCCAUGUCAAAGCUAGUCGGACUCCAGUUCUCCUUCAAGUACCGGCGUGGAGUCGAAAAUGGCGCAGCGGAUGCGCUCUCGCGCGUCGGCCAUCUCCUCGCUCUCGACGCUCUGUCAACGUGCCAACCGCAAUGGUUAUAG